This is a non-coding RNA of Pelobates cultripes (western spadefoot toad), 360 nucleotides long. Lineage: Eukaryota; Metazoa; Chordata; Amphibia; Anura; Pelobatidae. The record is from the annotation of a GenBank genome assembly.
GUGAGUUUGGCCUAUAAGUGAGUUCUGUGAGUGAGGGCUAUGAGUGAAUUCUGUGAAUGUGGGCUAUGCGUGGGUUCUGUGAGUGUGGGCUAUGAGUGAGUUCUGUGAGUUUGGGCUAUGAGUGAGUUCUGUGAGUUUGGACUAUGAGUGAGUUCUGUGAGUGUGGGCUAUGAGUGAGUUCUGUGAGUGUGGGCUAUGAGUGAGUUCUGUGAAUGUGGGCUCUUAGUAGGUUCUGUGAGUGAGGGCUAUGAGUGAAUUCUGUGAAUGUGGGCUAUGAGUGGUUUCUGUGAAUGUGGGCUAUGCGUGGGUUCUGUGAGUGUGGGCUAUGAGUUAGUUCUGUGAGUGUGGGCUAUGAGUUAG